RNAcentral lists this ribosomal RNA (501 nucleotides) under uncultured bacterium. RNAcentral describes it as "bacterial SSU rRNA". It matches the Rfam family "Bacterial small subunit ribosomal RNA", at positions 381 to 898 of the family's 1533-position model. The record is from RNAcentral.
GCCUGAUCCCCCCAUGCCGCAUGAGUGAUGACGGUCUUCGGAUUGUAAAGCUCUUUCAUCAGGGAAGAAUUAAUGACGGUACCUGAAGAAGAAGUCCCGGCUAACUCCGUGCCAGCAGCCGCGGUAAUACGGAGGGGGCGAACGUUGUUCGGAUUUACUGGGCGUAAAGGGAUCGUAGGCGGCCAUCAAAGUCAGAUGUGAAAGCCCAGGGCUCAACCUUGGAACUGCAUUUGAAACUUGGUGGCUAGAGUCAUGGAGAGGAUGGCGGAAUUGCCAGUGUAGAGGUGGAAUUCGUAGAUAUUGGCAGGAACACCAGAAGAGAAGUCGGCUAUCUGGCCAUUGACUGACGCUGAGGGUCGAAAGCGUGGGGAGCAAACAGGAUUAGAUACCCUGGUAGUCCACGCCGUAAACGAUGAGUGCUCGCUGUUGGGUUCUUUAGAACUCAGUGGCAAAGCUAACGCAUUAAGCACUCCGCCUGGGGAGUACGGUCGCAAGAUUAAA